Molecule: transfer RNA, 59 nt
Filed under: Camelus bactrianus (Bactrian camel)
Lineage: Eukaryota; Metazoa; Chordata; Mammalia; Artiodactyla; Camelidae
Also listed under: 1 other name
Rfam family: tRNA
About the family: Transfer RNA (tRNA) molecules are approximately 80 nucleotides in length. Their secondary structure includes four short double-helical elements and three loops (D, anti-codon, and T loops).
Source: Rfam by way of RNAcentral
GGUGGUAGAGCACGUGCUUAGCAUGCAUGAGGUCCUGGGUUCAAUCCCCAGUACCUUCA